CUACCGUGGUGCAUCGCGCUCAGCUGACAUGCAAGAUGGCUGCCCGUGCCAAGGGCGUGGCCGUGUGCUGAACUACGUUUCUGUCGUUUUACGAAAUCGUUUCCAACGAAACUCGUUGACAAGAAUGGAAUUCACUCCCGAGAAAAAUCACCGAGUUAUGGCUUGCACUUCCACAUCGGGCACCCGUUAGCUCACCCACGUUGUUGUUGCACGCGACGCGUACGCCGUGCUUACACGGCAGCCAUCUUAGGAUUCUCCUUCCACCUUCCGCGCACGGUCCAUCUGUCGCAGCCUCCGUCACUUUAUCCUUCUUCCUCCAGGGAUCUUUUUCGUCUACCUAUCCCUGGUUUUGCCUAUCCUCAGACCGCCUCUUUGACUCUCAGGCGUUAAGCAGCGCUGCGCUGUGUGAGCGUUAGUAAACACACGACGACAUUUUCGUGCGUAUCUUUUCGUGAAAAAUCGACUACGACGAGAAAGGAUGACGAAGAUUUCGGGAGGCUAUAUACAUCGGGAGUCAACAAAACUAACAAAAAGUCACAGUGGCGGGCGUCGCGUCAGGAAAAAGAAGAAAAGUGCGGCAGAAGUUUAAAAAUAUUUGGGUGAAAUUUCCGGAGGCAUGCUCGAUCAAACGUUCCAUUUCUUGGGCCAUCUACGCGGCGGAUAAUGGAGGAAACCAUUCAUAAAAUUCAUCAACUCUUAUAGAAGGAAAAAGUCAAAAGCAAGGAAAAUCCUGAAAGAAACUCGAAGGAUCUGGAAGGUCUGCAGCGAGCUAGUGGGCGGAGAUAAUGGCAGUCUUGAAAUUGGAUUAUCAAUCUCCGCGGCUCCUCGACCUCUUGCGCAGUGAAGGAAAACCAAGGAAAGAUGACUGGCGUUGGACAGAUUGAAAAGAAAUCGAAAGGGAUUGAAGGCGAUGAAUGCCAGGAAGAUAGAGGCGAGUAAGUCUACCGUGGUGAGUGACAGUAAGUAAUGCCAUCAGCGACGGUGGCAUGCACGAAAGAAGACAAAAUGGCGCUGGGUGAAAGGACAGACGACAAGAGGCGAAAGGGCGGUUUUCCUAUACGCUCACGAAAUGCCGCGACCGGGCUACCGACUCGAUAGCGUAUCGCUUUCCACGGACCCAAAGGUUACCGAAUCGUUUCGAGACUAUCUUAAUGGUUGGAUAGAUCGUUUGAUACUAUGGAUUACAUGACGAGCCACGAAAAGAAGAAAAACUUCAAGUAUCUAAUGCCCGAUGAGAAACAUGGAGAGAGAAGGGGAGCAUGACGAACGAAAGGAGGCGCGUGUCAAAGGGCGAAACCACAAAGAGUUGUAAAUGCCGGGCGUGUGCGACGGCGGCGGAUGACGGCGCAGUCUAGGCACUCUAAGCUUUGGAUAACGACAACGAACAGGCAACUGUAAUGCGACGGUGCACGAGUAAAAGAGAGUUUUUCUUUUCCUUUGGCUCGUAGCCCCCGCCACGGCUUAUCUCCCUACUAAAUCCAGCAAUUUUAAUACGCGUUUCUCGGCAAUUUCCGUGCUACACGUUCCUCCGUCGACUUAGCACCCCUUCUGACUCGAAUAGCUUCGAGCCGUUCCCUUCUCUCUCUCUCUCUCUCUCUCUCUCUCUCUCUCUCUCUCUCUCUCUCUCUCUUCCCCCGCCGCUUUUCCCUAACCCUCGACUCUUCUUUCCUGCCUGCCUGCCCCUCCUUUAAAUAAACCUCAUUUUUACGGCGCUAUUUAAAGCAAUUUCUGAUUUCCCUUAAUUCAUUACAACGUCGUUCCCUAUAGCCCCCCUUAAUGCGUCAUAGGCAUUGCUGGCAUUUCUUAAUUCCCCUCGCCGCUAAUUGCCGCGCAAUUCACCCUGUUCGAUGUUACCGGAAUUCUUUUGGAUUUGAUUUUUUUCCUUGUUUCUUCUUUCACAGAGGGUGGGAGACGUUCCGACUCCCCUGUUUCAAUUUCAACCCCGCUUUGAGUAAUUUUGCGUUAGGAGGAAUUGGAGGAACUACUACCUCCCUUUUGUACGAGAAAGUAAUGUUUUUCGACGAUUUCUUGGUGGAUUUAAUUAUAAAAAAGUUCGCACUGCAUACUUUCGCAUCGUACAUGUUCGAUAUCAUAUAAUUGAAAUCAUCGAGGGCGAACGUCGUGCUAACGCAACAUUUCAUUCGCGAUCUUUUUCAAUGAAUUUAUAUCGUCAGAUUCUAAUUUCUAAUUUUAUGCGCCAGGAAGAAGAAUUUUAAUUAUUUUUCAUCUUUCACUUAGAUGUUAUAAUUUUUCAGGAUUAAAUUAAAUCGAAUAUUAUGAUACGACUUUCUCGUUGUUAAAAUCUAAAUUCCACUCAACUACCGAACUCGUUCUAAUGAUUUGUGAUUAAAACAAAAAGAAAAAAGAAAAAAAGACGCCAAGAUUUCUGUCGCGGGCGUAGAUAGCAGGAACAUCGUUAGGGUAUCGCAAUAAUGAUCGGUGAUAAAGAUGUGGGUUAAUAAACCGAUCGAGGACCGGUCGGAGCUUCCAACGGCGAGCAAACUUUCUUGCCGGGGAAAUUGAGUCGGAUUUGAGUUAUGGGAAUGGCGUUCGUCCCUCGUGCAGGAAUCGGCCCUGGUCUAGCGGAACCCCCCGUGUCUAUUUCGAACCCUCCUCCGCCCGCAACACAUCUAUCGCCAUUACCAGAUCCAGGCAGGGAGGGAAACUUGUAAAUAAAAAGGAGUAACGAUGACGUAACCGGCGUUUCGCGGUUGCCGUGGGAGUUGCCCGUAAUAGGCUCGGUGUCUUUAUUUUUCUUCGUUUUCUCGCACGAUGAAACGCCGCCGUUGUAAGUAGCAAAGUUGGUUGCUAACGUCGCUCGGAGCGAUUCCCUUCGACUAUCGCCGCAGAAACGACGAGCGAUUUUUUCCUCCCUAUAGCGGGACGUGUUUCGGGGCAAGGACAAUUAUCGAAAGUAGAAUGAAACGCAAGUGUUAUAUUUGUUUCAAAACCGAAAAAAUUGAAUACCUUAGACAAGAAAGAAUUUUGUAAAGUGUUUAAUGUGUGAGAUAUUAAAAUUAUUCGACGAUAAACAUUGAAUAUUUGAAGUGAAGAAUUUAGUAGAAACAUGUGUAUACAGGAUAAUUUUGAUAAUCUUGAUUUGAUUCGAAGAUAGUGUUAUACUGCUAAUGAUUCUAUCCCGCAGACUAGGUGUUAGCUUCAAUUUGAACUUUAUUCGUUUGAACGAAAUUUCACAGUAGUGAAAAAAAUUGCUGCUGUUGUACAAAUAUAGCAAUAGCAAUCUAUGUUAGAAAGGAAAAAGUAUAGAAAUUAAUCACAUACUAUAUAUCGUUUUCGACAUAAUCUGAGUUAACUAAAGAAAGAUUCAAUUUAUACCUCGGUGAUCCAAAACAUUGCCCGACAUUGCACAAAGAUAAGAAACACGUCAUACGAUAAAAACCGUAAAGAUUCUUGGAUUGUACUCUGAGCCGAUUCCCACGUUACACUGUCGGUGGAGACAAUUUGUAUCAGUUCGUGAUCAUUAUACAUUCAUAUCCAGGCGGUGGAGAUUUAAGCGAAGAGCGAGUUUCUACUUUGCAAUAAAUUCAAGCUUGCGAGGCAAUUACUCUGUCCGGCCGUAACGGCCGCUAGUUUGAGAUUAAAAGAGAAGAAGAAGAAGAAGAAGAAAACGACGACGACGAUGGCCUCUCGUCCCCUCCAGGCAAAGGUAGGACAGGGUGACACGUUGUUGGCCGCAGGUCGCCGGCCACGGACAACGGAAGAGCAACAGAGAGGAGUUGAACCAGCGGCGGAGGGGAGGACACUUCCACGGGUGGUUGGAGGGAAAUGGCGGCCAUCUUUCCCACGGGCUCUUCUCGAGAACCAAUCGCCUUUCUCCAACGAGCAUUAAGGCGGCAACUCUCGCUGAAGAAUUGCCUCUGCCACGUUAGACACAUUUUUCUCGCUUUUCCUUUAUUCUCUUCUCUGGCUCCAGGAGUCCCGGGACUCUUGCGUCUCUCUCGGCCCCAUGGCCAGCCGCUUGCUUCCUCGCUUCGCUCCCGUCUUUUUCCCGUCUCUCGCCUCUUCCUGUACCAUCACCGCGCCGCGUCGUCAUUUCGCAUCUCUUAUUUUCUUUGUACACCCCAGACCGUGGCCCCCGCUGCAUCCCUCUUACACUUAUUCUUCGUCUUCUUUCUCCACCGCCGCUGCUGCUGCUGCCGCCACCGCCCUCUUUCUUUUCUUCCAACUUUCUUUUCUUUUCUAUCAUUCUUUUCUUUUCUUUCUUUUUUUUCUCUCUCUCUCUCUCUCCUCUUCUUUCCUUUACGCUCGCCGUUACGUAUACCCAUAGUACAGAGGGGUAUAAUAGUGUUCAUCCCUGAAGUGAGCUCCAUCGAGCGGCAGGUGGCUGACCUUAAUAACGCGCGACGCAACGUUUCACGGGCCUCUCACUCUCUCACUCUCUCUUAUCCUCUUCUCUAGGGAUCGAAAAGAAAUUGCGAGUGUGCCAUCUAUGAAACGUCGGAUAGAAGAUUUACUAUGGCGACACGGUGUUGCGGAUAUACUGGCGCGGAGAAAGCCGAUACCUUGGAUACCGGUGAAGGGUGAAAGGGCUGCUAGCUUCCCUCGAAGCUUCCCUACUUGACGGCUAUCUUCUGUGGGAAAGUUUGAACAAUCGAUGCGCUGGCUAUUAUUACCUUUCUACCGUGUCUAAUAAACAGCUCGUAGUGUGACGCUUGAUGUAAACGCGGCUUGAGGCGAAUGAAAAUGUCCCUAGAUAGAGUAGCGUUGCAGUCUCGUGCUCUGUAGAAUAUUAUUUUAUUGCGCCAUCGGGGCACAUCACAAUGUAUUCUUGAGAGUAAGCUGUUGUUCGGUGAAAAGGUGCCUUUGUUCGUUGAAGAGAUCGUAAAACGAAAUCGUAUAUCUAACUGAUCGAGCAUCGGGGAAAAAUGCACCGACUUGCAAAUUGGAAUAUUCUCUGGGUCGCUUUUCAAAGUAAUUUUCUUUCAACACUUUUGAUUUUUAAUGAAUUUCUUUCACGAAGUUGUUAAUUUACAAAAGUUUACGAGUAAUUUUUACGGGGUACCGAAAUUUUCCAAAGCGGUUUUCUUUGAUUAAAUGUUGAGAACUUUCACCCACUGGUCUAAUCU
Molecule: long non-coding RNA, 5087 nt
Organism: Frieseomelitta varia
Lineage: Eukaryota; Metazoa; Arthropoda; Insecta; Hymenoptera; Apidae
Exons: 8
Source: RefSeq, a predicted model, not a curated record